Molecule: ribosomal RNA, 196 nt
Filed under: uncultured bacterium
Lineage: Bacteria
Description: partial 16S ribosomal RNA
Rfam family: Bacterial small subunit ribosomal RNA
Source: RNAcentral
UGCAACUCGACUACAUGAAGCUGGAAUCGCUAGUAAUCGCGAAUCAGAAUGUCGCGGUGAAUACGUUCCCGGGUCUUGUACACACCGCCCGUCACACCAUGGGAGUCAGUAACGCCCGAAGUCAGUGACCCAACCAUAAAGGAGGGAGCUGCCGAAGGUGGGACCGAUAACUGGGGUGAAGUCGUAACAAGGUAAC